AACGAACGCUGGCGGCAUGCCUAACACAUGCCAGUCGAACGAGACCUUCGGGUCUAGUGGCGCACGGGUGCGUAACGCGUGGGAACCUGCCCUUAGGUUCGGAAUAACUCCCCGAAAGGGGUGCUAAUACCGGAUAAUGUCUUCGGACCAAAGAUUUAUCGCCUUUGGAUGGGCCCGCGUUGGAUUAGCUAGUUGGUAGGGUAAAAGCCUACCAAGGCGACGAUCCAUAGCUGGUCUGAGAGGAUGAUCAGCCACACUGGGACUGAGACACGGCCCAGACUCCUACGGGAGGCAGCAGUGGGGAAUAUUGGACAAUGGGCGAAAGCCUGAUCCAGCAAUGCCGCGUGAGUGAUGAAGGCCUUAGGGUUGUAAAGCUCUUUUACCCGGGAAGAUAAUGACAGUACCGGGAGAAGAAGCUCCGGCUAACUCCGUG
Molecule: ribosomal RNA, 433 nt
Filed under: uncultured bacterium
Lineage: Bacteria
Description: partial 16S ribosomal RNA
Rfam family: Bacterial small subunit ribosomal RNA
Source: RNAcentral